CACGUAGGCGGGUUGGAAAGUCAGAUGUGAAAUCCUACAGCUUAACUGUAGAACUGCAUUUGAAACUUCCAACCUAGAGUAUGGGAGGGGGAGAUGGAAUUAGUGGUGUAGGGGUAAAAUCCGUAGAUAUCACUAGGAAUACCCAAAGCGAAGGCGAUCUCCUGGAACAUUACUGACGCUAAGGUGUGAAAGCGUGGGGAGCAAACAGGAUUAGAUACCCUGGUAGUCCCC
This 231-nucleotide ribosomal RNA is filed under the name uncultured bacterium. RNAcentral's name for it is "partial 16S ribosomal RNA". It matches the Rfam family "Bacterial small subunit ribosomal RNA", at positions 568 to 798 of the family's 1533-position model. The record is from RNAcentral.